This 299-nucleotide long non-coding RNA is filed under the name Trifolium pratense (red clover). Its description in RNAcentral is "long non-coding RNA (TPRA_LNC013756)". The record is from RNAcentral. Lineage: Eukaryota; Viridiplantae; Streptophyta; Magnoliopsida; Fabales; Fabaceae.
CAAAAUUGAAAUUGCACCAAAUUUUUUAAAGUUAAAUAAAAUUAGUACAACAUGACAACCACUGUUUGCUUGUAAUUCACCCUAAAACUACAAAUCGAAAAACUACCAACCACCAAAAUACAUGUGUAUGUCAUCCCUACCAAACAAUAAUCUGAAACGGACUUGCAACGGAAUCCAACUAGAUAAUAGCAGCCCCCAAAACUAGUCAAACAGGACAGCAAAGAACCCAGAACACAAUAUACGUUUUCUCUCUUUAAUCUUCGUUAGUGUAUGGAUUUGGAGAAUCCGUUUGGUUAGGG